Molecule: ribosomal RNA, 472 nt
Filed under: uncultured bacterium
Lineage: Bacteria
Description: bacterial SSU rRNA
Rfam family: Bacterial small subunit ribosomal RNA
Source: RNAcentral
AGAGUUUGAUCAUGGCUCAGGAUGAACGCUGGCGGCGUGCCUAAUACAUGCAAGUCGAGCGGUAACACUUCGGGUGACGAGCGGCGGACGGCUGAGUAACGCGUAGGAACGUACCCCAGAGUGAGGGAUAAGCACCGGAAACGGUGUCUAAUACCGCAUAAUCUCUUUGGAGCAAAGCUUCGGCGCUUUGGGAACGGCCUGCGUAUGAUUAGCUUGUUGGUGAGGUAAUGGCUUACCAAGGCGACGAUCAUUAGCUGGUUUGAGAGGAUGAUCAGCCAGACUGGGACUGAGACACGGCCCAGACUCCUACGGGAGGCAGCAGUCGGGAAUUUUCCACAAUGGGCGCAAGCCUGAUGGAGCAACGCCGCGUGCAGGAUGAAGGCCUUCGGGUCGUAAACUGCUUUUGUUAGUGAAGAUUAUGACGGUAACUAGCGAAUAAGGGUCUGCUAACUACGUGCCAGCAGCCGCGGUC